GUUUUGGUUUCUCUGUUUCAAUUCCAUAGUUAGAAUUCUCAUGAGCUUCAAAGAAAUUGAGUUCACUGGAGCCUUCAGAAGCUUUCUCAUUGUUUUUACUGAUUGCUGACACCUUCUCUUCAUUCUCAACCUCAGAAAGUGGCUUGUGAGUGUUUGGAUCAAUCCCUUUUUGCCUUAGUUUUUUUUUAAUGGAAGAGUUCCAUAAAUUCUUGAUUUCAUUGUCUGUUCUUCCAGGUAAUCUAGCAGCAAUUUGUGACCACCUAUGGAAAAAGAAGUCAAGGUGUCAGUUUUGUUACAUCAUGAAAAGUACUAUAAGAAUCAAGAAAAUAUGUAUUUACUUGUUCCCUAGAACUGCAUGAAGUUCAAUU
RNAcentral lists this long non-coding RNA (368 nucleotides) under Nicotiana tabacum (common tobacco). Its description in RNAcentral is "long non-coding RNA (NTAB_LNC000090)". The record is from RNAcentral. Lineage: Eukaryota; Viridiplantae; Streptophyta; Magnoliopsida; Solanales; Solanaceae.